Non-coding RNA from Dictyocaulus viviparus (bovine lungworm), 73 nucleotides. NCBI's taxonomy places the organism in Eukaryota, Metazoa, Nematoda, Chromadorea, Rhabditida, Metastrongylidae. The record is from Rfam.
GACUCAGUAGUGUACUGGUUCAGCACGGCAGACCGGAUAUCUGUAAGUGCGGGUUCGAGUCCCGCCUGAGGUU